Long non-coding RNA from Phycodurus eques (leafy seadragon), 626 nucleotides. RefSeq lists it as uncharacterized. Lineage: Eukaryota; Metazoa; Chordata; Actinopteri; Syngnathiformes; Syngnathidae. The record is from RefSeq and is a predicted model, not a curated record. The transcript has 3 exons.
GUGGAGUGACAACAGGAAGCAGAGCUGGAGGUGGCCAACUCAAGAUGUUCAAGCAUGGAUGAAGAGAUGGCGAAGAAGGAGGCUUAAACUGCAGGAGCAUUAUAAGCCACGUGAGACAUGGCCACCAGGCACAACCAGAACCUGAGCUGCUGAAUCGCAAACAGUAACUGUUCCCUCUUACUCGAAAUGCAAAUACAAAUUAAUAACAACAAAUACACAAAUGGAAGGAAGAACUUUCAGAGCAAGCAGUUUGUGUUGGAUGCCGUUGCCAUCACAACACAAGAAUGACCCUGUGCGUCUCCGUGGAGAUUGAAGUAUUGAUCUUCAUUUAGAGAGUGGUGCGAUGCAGACUUUAUACAACGGAAACCGGAGUGCCAGGAGAAAACCCACGCAGGAACGGGGAGAACAUGCAAACUCCACACAGGCGGGGCCGGGGAUUGAACUCCAGUCCUCAGAACUGUGAGGCAGACGCUCCAACCAGUCGCCCACCGUGCCGCCAAUUUCAAUUUCUUUGCGUGGCAAUGUGUAAUGGCGUGACACAAAUGUAUAUGUAUUACUAGAUAAUAACUAGAGCCAAAAAAAGUGUGCUGCGGUAGAACAGCACACUCACAGUACGGCCUUUUUUU